RNAcentral lists this ribosomal RNA (457 nucleotides) under uncultured Herminiimonas sp. RNAcentral's name for it is "bacterial SSU rRNA". It matches the Rfam family "Bacterial small subunit ribosomal RNA", at positions 342 to 791 of the family's 1533-position model. Lineage: Bacteria; Pseudomonadati; Pseudomonadota; Betaproteobacteria; Burkholderiales; Oxalobacteraceae. The record is from RNAcentral.
CGGGUUGCAGCAGUGGGGAAUUUUGGACAAUGGGGGCAACCCUGAUCCAGCAAUGCCGCGUGAGUGAAGAAGGCCUUCGGGUUGUAAAGCUCUUUUGUCGGGGAAGAAACGGUGAGGUUUAAUACACUUCACUAAUGACGGUACCCGAAGAAUAAGCACCGGCUAACUACGUGCCAGCAGCCGCGGUAAUACGUAGGGUGCAAGCGUUAAUCGGAAUUACUGGGCGUAAAGCGUGCGCAGGCGGUUAUGUAAGACAGAUGUGAAAUGCCCGGGCUCAACCUGGGAACUGCAUUUGUGACUGCAUGGCUAGAGUGUGUCAGAGGGGGGUAGAAUUCCACGUGUAGCAGUGAAAUGCGUAGAGAUGUGGAGGAAUACCGAUGGCGAAGGCAGCCCCCUGGGAUAACACUGACGCUCAUGCACGAAAGCGUGGGGAGCAAACAGGAUUAGAUACCCGUGU